AAGCGGUGGAGCAUGUGGUUUAAUUCGAUGCAACGCGAAGAACCUUACCUACUCUUGACAUCCAGAGAAGCCAGCGGAGACGCAGGUGUGCCUUCGGGAGCUCUGAGACAGGUGCUGCAUGGCUGUCGUCAGCUCGUGUUGUGAAAUGUUGGGUUAAGUCCCGCAACGAGCGCAACCCUUAUCCUUGUUUGCCAGCGAGUAAUGUCGGGAACUCCAGGGAGACUGCCGGUGAUAAACCGGAGGAAGGUGGGGACGACGUCAAGUCAUCAUGGCCCUUACGAGUAGGGCUACACACGUGCUACAAUGGCGCAUACAGAGGGCAGCAAGCUAGCGAUAGUGAGCGAAUCCCAAAAAGUGCGUCGUAGUCCGGAUUGGAGUCUGCAACUCGACUCCAUGAAGUCGGAAUCGCUAGUAAUCGUGAAUCAGAAUGUCACGGUGAAUACGUUCCCGGGCCUUGUACACACCGCCCGUCACAACCAUGGGAGUGGGCUGCAAAAGAAGUGGGUAGUUAACCUUUCGGGGAGACGCUCACCACUUGUGUCAUGACUGG
This 550-nucleotide ribosomal RNA is filed under the name uncultured bacterium. RNAcentral describes it as "bacterial SSU rRNA". It matches the Rfam family "Bacterial small subunit ribosomal RNA", at positions 927 to 1478 of the family's 1533-position model. The record is from RNAcentral.